UGCUGGCCAUCUCUCCAGGUCUAGAGCCAGAGAAGAUGAUCUGAAAUUGUAGCAGGAGAAAUUGAGGUAGGAUACUAAGAAAGCUUUUCAGGAGUGGGGCUAGGCAAGAGGUGCAGCAUGAGGGAAUAAGAGUGAAUCCUCAGUAUCUAAGGGAGGUGGCAGGUGGCGGGGGACUUCUUUCUUUGGGUCAUCUUUGGUGGUGAUUUGACAGGAAGGAACAAAGUGGCUUCAAACAUUAUACAAGUCUCUAGUCUGUUCUGUGUCCUGUUUUCUUUCUCAUUCUUUCAGUGUGGAAUCUAUAUGACCCUGGGAGGGAUGUUGGUUGGAAGAAUGACCAGCUGAUGGAGAUGCUGCUGUAAUUAUUGGUGGUAAUAAUGGGCAGCAGUGAGCCACCCGGUGUGACAGUGUAGGAGAAAACAGUCCAAACUCCUGCCAAACUCUCUCUACUGAUGGCAAAUCAGAGGAGACUCAAAUUGUGUAUGAAAAAUAAUUUCAAGUUUAACAAACACAAGGAAACCGCAGGGUCCAUGUCAAAGCUGAUGAGCUAUUUCUGAAACUCGUGAAGAAUUGUGGUUUGUGUGGUCUAUGUCACGGCACCCUUGAGGGAGAGUGGGCAAUUGCCUGAACUUGGAGGCUGUGUCCUGUCCCCAGGCUGCUCCAGGGCUGCCUCCUUCCGACUGGGCCUUCUUAUCUGGGACUGUUGAGGGCAACAGGCCUUCCGAAGACCAGUGAAGAAGGAGGCCCUGCAAACAGGAGGCUGACAGGGUAGGAACGAGGCCAUGAUCCCUUUGCAGAAGGACAACCAGGAGGAGGGUGUCUGCCCCAUCUGCCAGGAGAGCCUGAAGGAGGCCGUGAGCACCAACUGCGGACAUCUCUUCUGUCGAGUGUGCCUGACACAGCAUGUGGAGAAGGCCUCAGCCUCUGGGGUCUUCUGCUGCCCC
RNAcentral lists this small RNA (941 nucleotides) under Homo sapiens (human). RNAcentral describes it as "tripartite motif containing 40 (ENSG00000227458.8, ENSG00000237046.8)". Lineage: Eukaryota; Metazoa; Chordata; Mammalia; Primates; Hominidae. The record is from RNAcentral.